Ixodes scapularis (black-legged tick) is the source of this 432-nucleotide long non-coding RNA. RefSeq lists it as uncharacterized. NCBI's taxonomy places the organism in Eukaryota, Metazoa, Arthropoda, Arachnida, Ixodida, Ixodidae. The transcript is spliced from 3 exons. The record is from RefSeq and is a predicted model, not a curated record.
GAAUGCAUCCUUGAGGAGAUGAGAAGUGCAGGAGGCGCCCAUUUAUAGGGUGAUGGACGUUGUGACUCUCCUGGAUUUAGCGCAAAGUAUGGCACAUACAGCUUUUACUCCAACACCCUGAACAAGAUUGUGCACACAGAGCAAGUUCAAGUUGGUGAGAAUGACGCAGUGCAGGCAAGCUCGCACAUGGAGAAGGUUGGCUUCAUGAGAGGCUUCAACUACCUGCAAGAAAACAACAUAAAUGUGUUACCGUUCACCACAGAUCGGCAUGUGUCAAUCAAGAAAGAGAUGGCAACUAAUCAUCCCGAUGUCCAACCACUACUUUGAUGUGUGGCACUUUGCAAAAGGUACAGAAGAAAGUCCUUCCUGUUCACGGGUCCGUCACGUUGCGGGCGCAGUCGAGCUCCCGCCAAAGUCUGGACACACAAAAUG